Molecule: non-coding RNA, 75 nt
Organism: Podarcis lilfordi (Lilford's wall lizard)
Lineage: Eukaryota; Metazoa; Chordata; Lepidosauria; Squamata; Lacertidae
Source: the annotation of a GenBank genome assembly
GUCCUGCCAUAGCUCGGUUGGUAGAGCACGAGGCUCUUAAUCUUGGAGUCACGGGUUCAAGUCCUGCGUCGGGCA